This 500-nucleotide unclassified non-coding RNA is filed under the name Hevea brasiliensis (rubber tree). Lineage: Eukaryota; Viridiplantae; Streptophyta; Magnoliopsida; Malpighiales; Euphorbiaceae. The record is from RNAcentral.
GUAAAAUCGAAUUGAUUUUGUUCUAAUAAGUAAUCUUGUGUGAUGGCUGGACUGGAGGAAUUGAAGAAGAAGCUUGUGCCUUUGUUUGAUGCUGAUAAGGGUUUUUCACCUACCUCUACAUCCGAUCCUUUUGAUUCGUACUCUCUAUCGGAUGCCGGGACAGUGAAUUUGUUGAGUCAAUCGUAUGGAGUAUACAAUAUCAAUGAACUGGGAUUACAAAAGUGGCCUGUUGAUGAUACAGAUCAUGGUGAAAAGACAUAUAGAUGUGCUUCCCAUGAGAUGAGGGUCUUUGGUGCCAUAGGUGCUGGCGCCAGUAGUGUUGUUCAGAGGGCAAUUCAUAUUCCAACUCAUAGGAUUAUUGCUUUGAAGAAGAUAAAUAUUUUUGAGAAGGAGAAAAGGCAGCAACUCCUUACUGAAAUAAGGACAUUGUGUGAGGCACCAUGUUACCAAGGUCUUGUUGAGUUCUAUGGAGCUUUUUAUACUCCUGAUUCUGGGCAAAU